AGAGUUUGAUCAUGGCUCAGGAUGAACGCUGGCGGCGUGCUUAACACAUGCAAGUCGAACGCACCUUCGGGUGAGUGGCGGACGGGUGAGUAACGCGUGAGAAUCUGCCCCAAGGAGGGGGAUAACGGCUGGAAACGGCCGCUAAUACCCCAUAUGCCGUGAGGUGAAAUGAGUUUUCGCCUUGGGAUGAGCUCGCGUCUGAUUAGCUAGUUGGUGGGGUAAAGGCCUACCAAGGCAUCGAUCAGUAGCUGGUCUGAGGGGAUGAUCAGCCACACUGGGACUGAGACACGGCCCAGACUCCUACGGGAGGCAGCAGUGGGGAAUUUUCCGCAAUGGGCGAAAGCCUGACGGAGCAACGCCGCGUGAGGGAUGAAGGCCUCUGGGCUGUAAACCUCUUUUCUCAAGGAAGAAGAACUGACGGUACUUGAGGAAUAAGCCACGGCUAAUUCCGUGCCAGCAGCCGCGGUAAUACGGGAGUGGCAAGCGUUAUCCGGAAUUAUUGGGCGUAAAGCGUCCGCAGGCGGCCUUUUAAGUCUGUUGUCAAAGCGUGGAGCUUAACUCCAUUUGAGCAAUGGAAACUGGGAGGCUUGAGUGUGGUAGGGGCA
RNAcentral lists this ribosomal RNA (605 nucleotides) under uncultured cyanobacterium. RNAcentral's name for it is "bacterial SSU rRNA". It matches the Rfam family "Bacterial small subunit ribosomal RNA", at positions 8 to 659 of the family's 1533-position model. Lineage: Bacteria; Bacillati; Cyanobacteriota. The record is from RNAcentral.